RNAcentral lists this ribosomal RNA (500 nucleotides) under uncultured bacterium. Its description in RNAcentral is "partial 16S ribosomal RNA". It matches the Rfam family "Bacterial small subunit ribosomal RNA", at positions 30 to 523 of the family's 1533-position model. The record is from RNAcentral.
AUUGAACGCUGGCGGCAUGCCUUACACAUGCAAGUCGAACGGCAGCGGGGACUUCGGUCCGCCGGCGAGUGGCGAACGGGUGAGUAAUGUAUCGGAACGUACCAUUGAGUGGGGGAUAACGUAGCGAAAGUUACGCUAAUACCGCAUAUUCUCUCCGGAGGAAAGCAGGGGACCGCUAGGCCUUGCGCUCUUUGAGCGGCCGAUUUCCGAUUAGCUAGUUGGUGAGGUAAAGGCUCACCAAGGCGACGAUCUGUAGCGGGUCGGAGAGGAUGAUCCGCCACACUGGAACUGUGACACGGUCCAGACUCCGACGGGAGGCAGCAGUGGGGAAUUUUGGUCAAUGGGGUCAACCCUGAUCCGUCCAUGCCGCGUGAGUGAAGAAGGCCUUCGGGUUGUAAAGCUCUUUCGGCCGGGAAAAAAUCGCAUGGGCUAAUACCCUGUGUGGAUGAUGGUACCGGAAUAAGAAGCACCGGCUAACUACGUGCCAGCCGCCGCAGUAA